Molecule: ribosomal RNA, 301 nt
Filed under: uncultured bacterium
Lineage: Bacteria
Description: partial 16S ribosomal RNA
Rfam family: Bacterial small subunit ribosomal RNA
Source: RNAcentral
CAGUAGCCGCGGUAAUACGAAGGGGGCUAGCGUUGCUCGGAAUUACUGGGCGUAAAGGGAGCGUAGGCGGAUCGUUAAGUUGGGGGUGAAAGCCCGGGGCUCAACCUCGGAACUGCCUUCAAUACUGGCGAUCUUGAGUAUGAGAGAGGUGUGUGGAACUCCGAGUGUAGAGGUGAAAUUCGUAGAUAUUCGGAAGAACACCAGUGGCGAAGGCGACACACUGGCUCAUUACUGACGCUGAGGCUCGAAAGCGUGGGGAGCAAACAGGAUUAGAUACCCCAGUAGUCCCUGUCUCUUAUAC